This 299-nucleotide signal recognition particle RNA is filed under the name Cebus imitator (Panamanian white-faced capuchin). RNAcentral describes it as "Metazoan signal recognition particle RNA (ENSCCAG00000006386.1)". It matches the Rfam family "Metazoan signal recognition particle RNA". Rfam says of the family: The signal recognition particle (SRP) is a universally conserved ribonucleoprotein. The record is from RNAcentral. Lineage: Eukaryota; Metazoa; Chordata; Mammalia; Primates; Cebidae.
GCCGGGCACAGUGGCAUGUGCUUGUAGUCCCAGCUACUUGGGAGGCUGAGGUGGGAGGAUUGCUUGAGCCCAGGAGUUCUGGGCUGUAGUGCGCUAUGUCGAUCGGGUGUCCACACUAAGUUCAGCAUCAAUAUGGUGACCUCCCGGCAGUAGGGUACCAUUAGGUUGCCUAAGGAGGGGUGAACUGGCCCAGGUCGGAAACGGAGCAGGUCAAAACUUCCGUGCUGAUCAGUAGCGGGAUCGCACCUGUGAAUAGCCACUGCACUCCAGCCUGGGCAACAUAGCAAGACCCACACUCU